Molecule: long non-coding RNA, 1384 nt
Organism: Brassica napus (rape)
Lineage: Eukaryota; Viridiplantae; Streptophyta; Magnoliopsida; Brassicales; Brassicaceae
Exons: 3
Source: RefSeq, a predicted model, not a curated record
UUCUUUAUGUUCGGUUAGAUAUUAAAAUCAAACUAUGCGUUUUUUCUUUGAAUAGAUUAGGGUUUCAUUCUUUUUGUUCUUCCAGAAUUCAAUCGCCGUCAACGCUUAACUUAAUCUAGGAUCACAGAUUUCUCCUUUCAUCUCUUAACCUCCCUUAUCGUUCAACGUACUCUUAAUUUCGUCAUCUCAUCUCUUAACCUCUCCUAUCGUCCAACAUAUCUUAAUUUCGCCAAUAUUUGUUAUUAACAUUUAACUUAGUAAUCAUUACGACCUCUUCGGAUCCUCCAUGUCAAAUCUAUAAAUUGGAGAGGGUUGAGAGUAGGAUGAAUCUUCAGAACCAUUGUCAGUCCUUUAUCAAGCGUAGAAAGGAUCUCCGGAAAUGGCUUCCUCCGAUGCUGUUUUUGCACAAUCCGACUUUGAAGCUCUCCGACUCAGUAGAUUACCCAGUUAAUUGUUCCUACGCUGCUUCGUUUUGGGGCCUCCAAAAACAUCAAGAAGCAUGGUGAACACAUGGAAUCACUCUACUUCUCCUUGAUGAAUUGUUUCUUAUCACACUGCAAGGAACUAUAUGAAGCAAAGAAGAGAAAUAAUAAGUUUGAUUUCAAGGUGUUCACCGAGACCGUUCCAAAUGAGGUUAAAGGGUGGAUCAACGUGCUUGAAUUUUUGUUUCAUUCGACAGAUAAGUUUUCAGCUAUCAAAACAUUGUAAAUGUCUAUCAUUAUUGUUUGUUUCUGAUGGCUGUGGAUAUUGGGUUAUGCAGUGUGUUUAGGACAGAGAGGCUAAAUUAAGUAAUAUUUAGUUUUGUACAACAUAUUUUUCACAGUGAUUUGAACAAGACAUUAACCAAGAUCUCUUGGUCUCAUGGAGCCAACAUAACCAAACUGAUAAAGAGGAAAGAAGGCUGAUCAACAAUCACUCACUCGAAACACUCAUGAUCUCUUUCAUGUUGAUUAUACAAGAAAUGUACCUGUUGGAACUACAAAGAGGCAAGAGCCACAAGAAGAAUGUUUAUAUAUGAAAUAAGACCACAUUAGAGAGGAGAAUCACAGAUGGUGUAAACGACAGAAGAGAGAAGGGGAUCAUACAUGACAGGUGGCGAUAAAAAAUUUCUUGUGGGAUUCCAUGAUGGAGUUACUAUAUCAUAGAUUUUUCUUGCGGGUGAAUGGUUUGGGUUUUGAUGAACAGGUGGGGAUACAAGAACUUCAUGAGACGUUCAUUGAAGCUAUUUAUCAGCUCGGCAGUAGUAUCUUUGUAUAAUUGUGUUUCUACACAGUAGGACCUCUGUUUAUGUGUGUGUCUUAGUUUGUUGCAGAAAAUGAAUUAUAUGACCAGUAUAUGAACAUGAUUUCAUGAUUUGUUCCAUAUCAAUAUUAAGUUUCAAGCU